RNAcentral lists this ribosomal RNA (250 nucleotides) under uncultured bacterium. RNAcentral describes it as "partial 16S ribosomal RNA". It matches the Rfam family "Bacterial small subunit ribosomal RNA", at positions 524 to 772 of the family's 1533-position model. The record is from RNAcentral.
UACAGAGGAGCCAAGCGUUGUCCGGAUUGACUGGGCGUAAAGCGCACGCAGGCGGGCGCGCGCGUGGGGUGUGAAAUCUGGCCGCUUAACGGCCAGGCGCCAUCCCAUACGGCGCGUCUGGAGCAAUGCAGAGGUCGGUGGAAUUGCCGGUGUAGUGGUGAAAUGCGUAGAGAUCGGGAGGAACACCAGUGGCGAAGGCGGCCGGCUGGGGGGUGACCUGACGCUGAGGCGCGAAAGCGUGGGGAGCGAA